AAAUAGAUACCCAGGUAGUCCACGCCGUAAACGAUGAGUACUAGCUGUCGGAGGUUACCCCCUUCGGUGGCGCAGCUAACGCAUUAAGUACUCCGCCUGGGAAGUACGCUCGCAAGACUGAAACUCAAAGGAAUUGACGGGGGCCCGCACAAGCGGUGGAGCAUGUGGUUUAAUUCGAAGCAACGCGAAGAACCUUACCAGGUCUUGACAUCCCACUGACCGUUAUGGAGACAUAACUUUCCCUUCGGGGACAGUGGUGACAGGUGGUGCAUGGUUGUCGUCAGCUCGUGUCGUGAGAUGUUGGGUUAAGUCCCGCAACGAGCGCAACCCUUGUUCUUAGUUGCCAUCAUUUAGUUGGGCACUCUAAGGAGACUGCCGGUGACAAACCGGAGGAAGGUGGGGAUGACGUCAAAUCAUCAUGCCCCUUAUGACCUGGGCUACACACGUGCUACAAUGGACGGUACAAACGGUUGCCAACCCGGCGAGGGGAGCUAAUCCGAUAAAACCGUUCUCAGUUCGGAUUGUAGGCUGCAACUCGCCUACA
RNAcentral lists this ribosomal RNA (544 nucleotides) under uncultured bacterium. RNAcentral describes it as "bacterial SSU rRNA". It matches the Rfam family "Bacterial small subunit ribosomal RNA", at positions 776 to 1320 of the family's 1533-position model. The record is from RNAcentral.